Long non-coding RNA from Bradysia coprophila, 112 nucleotides. The record is from RefSeq and is a predicted model, not a curated record. NCBI's taxonomy places the organism in Eukaryota, Metazoa, Arthropoda, Insecta, Diptera, Sciaridae.
CAACCAUCAAAAAAUACUAUUUUCUCAUGGCCUACUGAGGGGAGAAAAUAAUAGAAAACACAAUGCUCGCACGGAAAAAUAUUUCAAAAUAUUUGAAAAAUUUUACUUUCGU